This 492-nucleotide ribosomal RNA is filed under the name uncultured bacterium. RNAcentral's name for it is "partial 16S ribosomal RNA". It matches the Rfam family "Bacterial small subunit ribosomal RNA", at positions 29 to 507 of the family's 1533-position model. The record is from RNAcentral.
AGUGAACGCUGGCGGUAGGCCUAACACAUGCAAGUCGAACGGCAGCACAGUAAGAGCUUGCUCUUACGGGUGGCGAGUGGCGGACGGGUGAGGAAUACAUCGGAAUCUACUUUUUCGUGGGGGAUAACGUAGGGAAACUUACGCUAAUACCGCAUACGACCUACGGGUGAAAGCAGGGGAUCUUCGGACCUUGCGCGAUUGAAUGAGCCGAUGUCGGAUUAGCUAGUUGGCGGGGUAAAGGCCCACCAAGGCGACGAUCCGUAGCUGGUCUGAGAGGAUGAACAGCCACACUGGAACUGAGAAAAGGUCCAGACUCCUACGGGAGGCAGCAGUGGGGAAUAUUGGACAAUGGGGGCAAGCCUGAUCCAGCCAUACCGCGUGGGUGAAGAAGGCCUUCGGGUUGUAAAACCCUUUUGUUGGGAAAGAAAAGCAGCAGGUUAAUACCCCGCUGUUCUGACGGUACCCAAAGAAUAAGCACCGGCUAACUUCGUG